Long non-coding RNA from Panicum virgatum (switchgrass), 580 nucleotides. RefSeq lists it as uncharacterized. NCBI's taxonomy places the organism in Eukaryota, Viridiplantae, Streptophyta, Magnoliopsida, Poales, Poaceae. The transcript is spliced from 2 exons. The record is from RefSeq and is a predicted model, not a curated record.
GCGACUGGGCAGUUGUCGGUGGCGCCCAGGGCGGGCGGAGCGGCGGCCGGGCGGGUGGGGCCCUCGCUAGGCGCCACGAUGGCAGAUUGAGGAGGAUGGAUGAUUUCUUUAUCGAUCUCAACAAUGAAGCACAGUGUGUUGGUGUUGGAGAAGUUUCUGAAUCUUCCAUGAGCGGUUCUGCUUCCAAGGUGGGGGCAACAAGGAACAAGCAGACCAACUUCUCGGCGUAUGAAGACAACAUGCUCUGCAAAUCGUAGCUGGCAAUUAGCUGUGAUCCCGUUGUAAACACCGGCCAGAGGAAGGAAGCUUUUUGGAUUCGUGUGCUCAACAGAUACAAUUCCAAAUGCGGCAGCUAUCCGACGAGGACCCAAAAAUCCAUUAUGAGUCGUUAGGAUCACAUCAAGGCUGAAGUAAGCAAGUUCUCUGGAUACAUGGCACAGAUGAUCCGUUCCAAUCCUAGUGGCAUGUCGGAUGCAGAUAAGUCAGUGGUUGGUCCUGCUGAUUUUGCUAGUAUGGAGAAGCACAAUUUCACUCUCAUGCACUGCUGGAAAAUCAUGAAGGAUGAGCCCAAAUGGAUGGA